CAAGUGGUGGAGCAUGUGGUUUAAUUCGAUGAUACGCGAGGAACCUUACCUAGGCUAGAAUGCGCGUGACCGGCUCAGAGAUGAGCCUUUCCUUCGGGACACAAAGCAAGGUGCUGCAUGGCCGUCGUCAGCUCGUGCCGUGAGGUGUUGGGUUAAGUCCCGCAACGAGCGCAACCCCUAUGGUUAGUUGCCAGCACGUAAUGGUGGGGACUCUAGCCAGACUGCCUGCGCAAGCAGUGAGGAAGGCGGGGACGACGUCAGGUCAUCAUGGCCCUUACGCCUAGGGCGACACACGUGCUACAAUGGACGGUACAGCGGGUAGCUACACAGCGAUGUGACGCCAAUCUCGAAAAGCCGUUCUCAGUUCGGAUCGGAGUCUGCAACUCGACUCCGUGAAGCUGGAAUCACUAGUAAUCGCGCAUCAGCCAUGGCGCGGUGAAUACGUUCCCGGGCCUUGUACACA
Molecule: ribosomal RNA, 463 nt
Filed under: uncultured bacterium
Lineage: Bacteria
Description: bacterial SSU rRNA
Rfam family: Bacterial small subunit ribosomal RNA
Source: RNAcentral